Molecule: long non-coding RNA, 969 nt
Filed under: Rattus norvegicus (Norway rat)
Lineage: Eukaryota; Metazoa; Chordata; Mammalia; Rodentia; Muridae
Description: long non-coding RNA NONRATT032229
Source: RNAcentral
GGGUUAUUGUGAUCACUGGCUGUAGGUCAUCACUGAAGGAAGUCAAGACAGAAAUUCACACAGGGCAGGAGCCUGAAGGCAGGAGCUGAUGCUGAGGCCACAGAGGGGUGCUUCUUACUGGCUUGUUCCCUAUGGCUCGUUGGGACUGCUUUCUUAUAGGCUGAAGCAUCAAGUCUUGAGUUCUAGGCCAGCACCUGCCGUAAGAACCAGCCAAUGGCAGAUGAGAGUGAUUACAGGUCAAAGCCCUUUCCAUUCGACUCUGAUGGCUUCACUUCAGCUCCUGGAACUUUCACCCACUCCAUCCGUGUACAUGGCAAAGGUGAGAGAAUACUUUUCAGGACUUCCUCAUCAAAUCCAGGCUUUGCCACACACAUCUUUGCCUGCUGAGCCCUCUCGUCGGCCCCGAAGCUGGUGUUCAGAUGUGCGUGAUUGCCAUUGGAACCUAGCGUCAUUUGGGGCAGAGCUGCAGUUCAAGUAAGAAGUGGGGGCAGUCUCAGGCUGGGUUAGACCUGGAUUUGAUCCCCAGCCACAGGGAAAUGUCCAAACUGGGGUGUCAUGAUCCAAAGCUGCAGGGGCCUGUACCUAAGAUGAAGGCACAUGGCUUUCCGGUUGUCCCGAGCCCAGUGGUCCCACAUUCUUGGAUGUGCUUCUUGGGCAGGGGACCAGGUGGCUCAGGUAUCCUGAGGAUCAUGCUGCCGCCUUGUGUCCCUGAACGGGAGACUGAAACAGAGCCCAGGUCAGGGAGUCGUUAAGUCUCUCAAAGUUGUCAUAUGGGAGAGGAGUAUGUGGCUCUUGCUUAGCACUGGGGCAGCCUGGCUUCAUCACCAGCACACACAGGCUGAAUAAAUAAAUGGCCUGUCAUAUGAAUGUAUGGACCAGAGUGGCUUUCUGACCUCCAAAGCAACUCCUAGCCCUGUUCCUUGGUGCCUUUGUUUGUAAAAUGAGGCUCAAUAUUAAAUGUCAUCUCAC